UGGGGCAUGUGGUUGGUAAUAUUAUUAUUUCAAUUUUACAGGAAAGGGAACGUCACAGAAAGGUGAAGAAAUUUGCCCUAAAUCAUAAAACUUUGUAAGUGGCAGAACAAGGAUUUGAAGCUGGCAGUCUGGUUCCAGGCUGCUUUCCACCAGCGAUGGAGCGUGGGGACAGUACUGCCGCAAGUGGAUCGUGGGACUCCUCCAGUAGGUGACUGUGGCUCGAGAACUCCGCAGUGGCCUGGGCAAGCCUUUCUCAGAACUGCUCUGAAGUCUGAGGCCCAUCGUCCCCACUCCUCCACGGGUGUCACACCUGUACUGUGGUCUGAAGGAUCUCCCUGCCUUCUAUCCCCUCCUUCUUUGUCCUUCACAGGCAGUUCCCCCAAUAUGGCUCUGACUCAUGCAAUCCUGUCUUUGUGUCUGGUUCUCAGAGCACCUCCACUAACACGGUUACCCCUCACUCAGUCAGGUGCAGUGUGAGGUCCUGGGGACACUUGCUGUGAGUACCCUCAGCCAGCUCAGAGUUCUACAGAAGAGACUGUCUGACAAGUACACCUGCAGUGACAAUAUGUGAGUUCAGUGCUGUGAAGAUGUGUGAGGGAGCAUAGGAGGAGGGCAGCCAACUCAGCUGGGAUGGGAGGUAGUCAGGGAGGACUUUCCAGGAGAGGUGACCCUGUUGCUGAAACCCCUAGGAGUGAAUGGAAGGAAGUCAACAACAAUAAUACCAAACACUUAUUUAACACUUAUUUUGUGCCAAGUGCUUUACAUAUAAGAACUCAUAAAAUUUCCACAACUAUCCUAUUAUCCCCAUCUUACAGGUAGGGAAAUCAAGGCAUAAAGAAGUCGAAUGGCUUCUCACCAGC
This 860-nucleotide long non-coding RNA is filed under the name Pan troglodytes (chimpanzee). RNAcentral describes it as "long non-coding RNA NONPTRT010745". The record is from RNAcentral. Lineage: Eukaryota; Metazoa; Chordata; Mammalia; Primates; Hominidae.